Molecule: long non-coding RNA, 1593 nt
Organism: Hordeum vulgare subsp. vulgare (domesticated barley)
Lineage: Eukaryota; Viridiplantae; Streptophyta; Magnoliopsida; Poales; Poaceae
Exons: 5
Source: RefSeq, a predicted model, not a curated record
UCUAUCUCUCCCCGGUGGAAAAACAAAUAUACAGCCCAACUUCCCUUCUUCUUCAUUAUCUCUCUCUUUCCCCCAUGGAACUAAUAUCUUGCCCACCGUCCCUUCCUCUCCAUUAUCUCUCUCUCCUCAUGGAACUAUUUCACGGUCGUUUGUUCUCGCUAAUGUCUCUCCCCCAUAGAAAUCAAAGCCAUUAUCUCUCUCAAACUACUGCAAAGCAAACGGGGGCAUAGAUCUGAGAAAACAAAGAGGGGUCAUGGAUCUGGCGUGGUCAAGAGGCUUACUGCUUCAGAAUUGUUUUCGUGAUCUGGAUCAGCAACGUGGUUAAGUCCAUUAGAGAAAUGCCGGUUCAUGCUGAUGAUUGUCAAUGGAGCUUAGAUGUGGCUGUAGAAGUAUAAAAGGCUCCACGGAUGGCGUUCUUAUUGGUAGACUUUCGAUCUGCAUAAACGUGGCUAAGUCCAGGUUCAUGCUGAUGAUUGACAAUGGAGCUUACAUGUGGCUAUAGAAGCAUAAAAGGCUUGGUGAUCAGACAUGAUUGAUCAGAUGGGACACAAGUACAAGGAUGUAAGCACAUUGACUAAUUCAUGGAGGACGCACCAAAAAAGGCUGGCUAGCUAAUGGAUCGACCGGCCGGAAGAACGGAACACAUGCUGGCCGGCGAAUGCCCAUGUCCGGUCAAGACAAGGAACGCGAGAAAGGUCAUGGUGUAAUAUGACUUGCUGGAGCCAGGUUACAUUGCUGGACCAAGGAUAGAAUCCAACAAGAAAAAGUGAUAGAUGCCCCGGAAAAGAACAACUUUGAUUUGCAUAAAUCUCAGGUAUUGUCAUUUAGCCAAAUUGAUAUACUAAAGGUGGCCUUUUGUAGUUUACAUUCUACAAGAACGUUUGUGUUCAAUUAGUCUAUGAACAACAAAAUUUUUGUUUUGUUUUGCAUCCACAUAUAUAGGUAGAUCUUUAUAAUAAUUAUGAUUUAGAUCUGGCGUAAAUUAGCCAAAAAAUUAUAUAUUGAUACAAAUAUAUUUCUACUUCAAACUAUAUUUUAACAUGGUUUUUAAUGCUUAUUCGAAGUACAAGUAAAUCGAGGAAAUGCAUUAUAAACAAAAUUUUCUCACAGAAGUGUCAACUUUUAUGAAGUAUGUGAUUCAAUAUAGUAUCAUCUCUUUCAGUAUAGUAUUAUAAACAAGUAAUACGAUGUGUGUGUUAUGUAUCCAAAUCCAUCCGUGUCUGAGACAGUUGUGGUAAGUCUAUGCAUUGUUGUUAAAGAAAUAUUCUAGCAUUCCUAGCGUAAGAAAAGAACGAGGGUGAUUUGAAAAUUACAAACAAGAAAUUGUAUCAAAAAUAUGCAUGUGUUAUUUCGUCUUCGCUACCCAGAUUUUGCUGCAUCCAGCAUGUCAUCCGCAAAACGUGGUCAAUGGAUGCUAAACCAGAUAUGUAAAGCUGUUGUUUGCAAAACAUGAUGUAUACGAUAUUUUCUGUUUGUAACAAGUUAAUUUAUCAGUAUAUUUUGUUUGGCAUGAAACUUAUAGUUUUGUUGUUGUACUCUAUAAUUUAAGCAUUGUCUUGCUUAACUAGAAUAAUAUUUUGCUGUUUGGUAGUA